CGAUGUGUGAUGUUUCUUUUAUUUUAAGGAAAGGUGCUGCUUAACUCCUCAGCUGCUGAGUUACGUGAAGUGAGACGCUGUGCAGAGCAUUGACGCCUCAAUGCCUGAUCUGCCAAGUGGAGGAUUUUUAAGGAAGGCUGCAGUUACUAUCUUUUGCUAGUGAGAGACAUGGCUGUCAUAAGAAAACACUCUAA
Hemicordylus capensis (graceful crag lizard) is the source of this 194-nucleotide long non-coding RNA. RefSeq lists it as uncharacterized. The transcript is spliced from 3 exons. NCBI's taxonomy places the organism in Eukaryota, Metazoa, Chordata, Lepidosauria, Squamata, Cordylidae. The record is from RefSeq and is a predicted model, not a curated record.